GCUUGAGCUACUCCAUGUUGCCUUGUUCCUCUUAAUGUGCAUGUGUCAGGGGACGGAAUUUUCCAUAGUGGGCAUGUCUGGGCAAAUCACUUGUGUAGCCUUUUUUAUAUUGUGGCUGUGGGCAUAUCCUAGGCAAACCCCCCUGUGCAAGUUACCUUAUCUGUGCCUGUUGGCUAUUCUUUGGUUUGAAAGAAUUCUUCCAAGGAUCCACCCUAACUGCCUGCCUGACUCGUUUCUUCCUUUCCCCUCUCAGUAAGGGAGAUGUUUCCUAUUAUCCUUGAUAAUGUGCCAUGAACAUAUGAAAAAACAUAGAAACAUGAAGAAAACAAGAAGACAAAAAUCACUAACAUCUGGUUGGCUGUAUAGAAACAAAGCUGAUUCUGGUCUCGCUCUAUACCCCAGGUUGGAGUGCAGUGGUAAGAUCACAGCUCACUGCUGCCUUGACUUCCUGGGCUCAAGUGAUUCUCCUGCCUCAGUCUCCUCAGUAGCUCGGACUACAGG
RNAcentral lists this long non-coding RNA (501 nucleotides) under Homo sapiens (human). Its description in RNAcentral is "HSALNT0200195". The record is from RNAcentral. Lineage: Eukaryota; Metazoa; Chordata; Mammalia; Primates; Hominidae.